ACAGAUAAGGAGCUUGCUCCUUUGACGUUAGCGGCGGACGGGUGAGUAACACGUGGGUAACCUACCUAUAAGACUGGGAUAACUUCGGGAAACCGGAGCUAAUACCGGAUAACAUUUGGAACCGCAUGGUUCUAAAGUGAAAGAUGGUUUUGCUAUCACUUAUAGAUGGACCCGCGCCGUAUUAGCUAGUUGGUAAGGUAACGGCUUACCAAGGCGACGAUACGUAGCCGACCUGAGAGGGUGAUCGGCCACACUGGAACUGAGACACGGUCCAGACUCCUACGGGAGGCAGCAGUAGGGAAUCUUCCGCAAUGGGCGAAAGCCUGACGGAGCAACGCCGCGUGAGUGAUGAAGGGUUUCGGCUCGUAAAACUCUGUUAUUAGGGAAGAACAAACGUGUAAGUAACUGUGCACGUCUUGACGGUACCUAAUCAGAAAGCCACGGCUAACUACGUGCCAGCAGCCGCGGUAAUACGUAGGUGGCAAGCGUUAUCCGGAAUUAUUGGGCGUAAAGCGCGCGUAGGCGGUUUCUUAAGUCUGAUGUGAAAGCCCACGGCUCAACCGUGGAGGGUCAUUGGAAACUGGGAAACUUGAGUGCAGAAGAGGAAAGUGGAAUUCCAUGUGUAGCGGUGAAAUGCGCAGAGAUAUGGAGGAACACCAGUGGCGAAGGCGACUUUCUGGUCUGUAACUGACGCUGAUGUGCGAAAGCGUGGGGAUCAAACAGGAUUAGAUACCCUGGUAGUCCACGCCGUAAACGAUGAGUGCUAAGUGUUAGGGGGUUUCCGCCCCUUAGUGCUGCAGCUAACGCAUUAAGCACUCCGCCUGGGGAGUACGACCGCAAGGUUGAAACUCAAAGGAAUUGACGGGGACCCGCACAAGCGGUGGAGCAUGUGGUUUAAUUCGAAGCAACGCGAAGAACCUUACCAAAUCUUGACAUCCUUUGAAAACUCUAGAGAUAGAGCCUUCCCCUUCGGGGGACAAAGUGACAGGUGGUGCAUGGUUGUCGUCAGCUCGUGUCGUGAGAUGUUGGGUUAAGUCCCGCAACGAGCGCAACCCUUAAGCUUAGUUGCCAUCAUUAAGUUGGGCACUCUAGGUUGACUGCCGGUGACAAACCGGAGGAAGGUGGGGAUGACGUCAAAUCAUCAUGCCCCUUAUGAUUUGGGCUACACACGUGCUACAAUGGACAAUACAAAGGGCAGCUAAACCGCGAGGUCAUGCAAAUCCCAUAAAGUUGUUCUCAGUUCGGAUUGUAGUCUGCAACUCGACUACAUGAAGCUGGAAUCGCUAGUAAUCGUAGAUCAGCAUGCUACGGUGAAUACGUUCCCGGGUCUUGUACACACCGCCCGUCACACCACGAGAGUUUGUAACACCCGAAGCCGGUGGAGUAACCAUUUA
This 1394-nucleotide ribosomal RNA is filed under the name Staphylococcus saprophyticus. Its description in RNAcentral is "bacterial SSU rRNA". It matches the Rfam family "Bacterial small subunit ribosomal RNA", at positions 69 to 1444 of the family's 1533-position model. Lineage: Bacteria; Bacillati; Bacillota; Bacilli; Caryophanales; Staphylococcaceae. The record is from RNAcentral.